UGUCCCGGACGAGGGGGCGUGUCCCGCGCAGGUGAGCCAGGAGAUCCUGGAGCUGCUCAACACCACCACGGCCAAGGAGCAGUCGAUCGUGGAGAAGUUCCGGUCGCGCGGGCGCGCGCAGGUGCAGGAGUUCUGCGACCACGGCACCAAGGAGGAGUGCGUCAAGGCCUCGGGCGCCGAGCGGCCCUGCCGCCGCCUGCACUUCCGGUGCGUCACCGGGAAUCCCGGAUUGAUUCGGGAAUUUGGGGGGAUGUUAUUGGGAUUUUUGGGGGGUUUUUUUGGAUUUAUUUUGGAAUUUUUUGGGGAUUUUUUUCCUGAUUUUUGGGGAUUUAUUCAGAAUUUUUGGGGAUUUUUUUUGGAUUUUUUCCCGGAUUUUUAGGGGUUUAUUUAGGACUCCUUGGGAUUUUUUUUGGAUGUAUUUGGGAUUUUUUGGGGAUUUUUUUUGGAUUUUAUCCCGGAUUAUUGGGGAUUUAUUCAGAAUUUUUUGGGAUUUAUUUGGGAUUUUUUGGGAUUUUUUUUGGAAUUUUUUUUGGAUUUUUUCCCGGAUUUUUGGGGAUUUAUUCAGAAUUUCUUGGGAUUUUUUUUGGAUUUUUGGGGGUUUUUUGGGGGGUUUAUUCAGGAUUUCUUGGGAUUUUUUUUGGAUUUAUUUGGGAUUUAUUUGGGAUUUAUUUGGGAUUUUUUUGGGAUUUUGGGGGGUUUUUUUGGAUUUAUUUUGGAAUUUUUUUUGGAUUUUUUUCCUGAUUUUUGGGGAUUUAUUCAGAAUUUUUUGGGAUUUAUUUGGAAUUUUUUGGGAAUUUUUUUUGGAUCUUUUCCCGGAUUUUUGGAAAUUUAUUCAGAAUUUUUUGGGAUUUUUUUUCCGGAUUUUUAGGGGUUUAUUUAGGAUUUCUUGGGAUUUUUUCGGGAUUUUUUUUUCCCAAUUUCUGGGGGUUAUUUGGGAAUUCCAGGGAUUUAGUUGGGAAUUUUUUGGGAUUUCCCCCCAUUUCCGCCUGUUUCCCCCCAUUUUUUGGCUGUUUUUUCCCCCAAAACCCCAUUUUUUGGGUGUUUCCCCCACCCAAAUCCCAUUUUCUGGCUGUUUUUCCCCAUUUCUGCCUUUUCCCCCCAUUUUUGGGUGUUUUCCCCCCCAAACUCCCAUUUUCUGGCUGUUUUUCCCCAUUUUCUGUCUGUUUUUCCCCAUUUCCGGCUGUUUUUCCCCAUUUUCUGGCUGUUUUCCUCCCCAAAUCCCAUUUUCUGUCUAUUUUUCCCCAUUUCCGCCUGUUUUUCCCCAUUUCCACCUGUUUUUCCCCCAAAUCCCAUUUCCUGUCUGUUUUUCCCCAUUUCCUGUCUGUUUUUCCCCCAAAUCCCAUUUUCUGGCUGUUUUUCCCCAUUUCCGGCUGUUUUUCCCCCAAACUCCCAUUUUCCGCCUGUUUCUCCCCAAUUCCCGCCUGUUUUUCCCCAUUUCUGGCUGUUUUUCCCCCAAACUCCCGUUUUCUGUCUGUUUUUCCUCAAUUCCCGCCUGUUUUUCCCCAUUUUCUGUCUGUUUUUCCCCAUUUCCGGCUGUUUUUCCCCUCAAACUCCCAUUUUCUGGCUGUUUUUCCCCCCAAAAUCCCAUUUUUUGGAUAUUUUUCACCCCAAAAAAAAACCCCCAAAAUCCCAUUUUCUGUCUGUUUUUCCCCAUUUCCGCCUGUUUUCCCCCCAAUUUCCGCCUGUUCCCCCCGCCAGCCGCAUCAUCAACAAGCACACGGACGAGUCCCUGGGCGACUGUUCCUUCCUCAA
RNAcentral lists this long non-coding RNA (1752 nucleotides) under Cyanistes caeruleus (blue tit). RNAcentral's name for it is "lncRNA (ENSCCEG00000012035.1)". Lineage: Eukaryota; Metazoa; Chordata; Aves; Passeriformes; Paridae. The record is from RNAcentral.